CAGCCGCCGCGGUAAUACGUAGGGUGCGAGCGUUAUCCGGAAUUAUUGGGCGUAAAGAGCUCGUAGGCGGUUUGUCGCGUCUGUCGUGAAAGUCCGGGGCUUAACCCCGGAUCUGCGGUGGGUACGGGCAGACUAGAGUGCAGUAGGGGGACUGGAAUUCCUGGUGUAGCGGUGGAAUGCGCAGAUAUCAGGAGGAACACCGAUGGCGAAGGCAGGUCUCUGGGCUGUAACUGACGCUGAGGAGCGAAAGCAUGGGGAGCGAACAGGAUUAGAUACCCUGGUAGUCCAUGCCGUAAACGUUGGGCACUAGGUGUGGGGACCAUUCCACGGUUUCCGCGCCGCAGCUAACGCAUUAAGUGCCCCGCCUGGGGAGUACGGCCGCAAGGCUAAAACUCAAAGGAAUUGACGG
This 409-nucleotide ribosomal RNA is filed under the name actinobacterium enrichment culture clone LiUU-16-354. RNAcentral's name for it is "bacterial SSU rRNA". It matches the Rfam family "Bacterial small subunit ribosomal RNA", at positions 509 to 916 of the family's 1533-position model. The record is from RNAcentral. Lineage: Bacteria; Bacillati; Actinomycetota; Actinomycetes.